CAGUCGCCGCGGUAACACGGAGGGUGCAAGCGUUACUCGGAAUCACUGGGCGUAAAGGACGCGUAGGCGGAUUAUCAAGUCUCUUGUGAAAUCUAACGGCUUAACCGUUAAACUGCUUGGGAAACUGAUAAUCUAGAGUAAGGGAGAGGCAGAUGGAAUUCUUGGUGUAGGGGUAAAAUCCGUAGAUAUCAAGAAGAAUACCUAUUGCGAAGGCGAUCUGCUGGAACUUAACUGACGCUAAUGCGUGAAAGCGUGGGGAGCAAACAGGAUUAGAUACCCCCGUAGUCCCUGUCUCUUAUAC
This 301-nucleotide ribosomal RNA is filed under the name uncultured bacterium. RNAcentral describes it as "partial 16S ribosomal RNA". It matches the Rfam family "Bacterial small subunit ribosomal RNA", at positions 509 to 807 of the family's 1533-position model. The record is from RNAcentral.